CAGCUAGUUGGUGGGGUAAGAGCCUACCAAGGCGAAGACGGCUAGGGGGCGUGAGAGCGUGACCCCCCACAAGGGAACUGAGAGACGGUCCCUACUCCUACGGGAGGCAGCAGUGAGGAAUAUUGAGCAAUGGGCGCAAGCCUGACUCAGCAACGCCGCGUGGAUGAAGAAGGCCUUCGGGUUGUAAAAUCCUUUUCUGCGGGAAGAUAAUGACGGUACCGCAGGAAUAAGUUCCGGCUAACUACGUGCCAGCAGCCGCGGUAAAACGUAGGGGACAAGCGUUAUCCGGAUUUACUGGGCGUAAAGCGCCCGUAGGCGGCUUAACAAGUUGGAUGUGAAAGCUCCCGGCUUAACUGGGAGAGGUCAUUCAAAACUGUUAGGCUAGAGGAUGGAAGAGGAGAGCGGAAUUCCCGGUGUAGUGGUGGAAUGCGUAGAGAUCGGGAGGAACACCAGUGGCGAAAGCGGCUCUCUGGUUCACACCUGACGCUGAGGGGCGAAAGCGUGGGGAGCGAACGGGAUUAGAUACCCCGGUAGUCCACGCUGUAAACGAUGGAUACU
RNAcentral lists this ribosomal RNA (558 nucleotides) under uncultured bacterium. Its description in RNAcentral is "SSU rRNA". It matches the Rfam family "Bacterial small subunit ribosomal RNA", at positions 242 to 817 of the family's 1533-position model. The record is from RNAcentral.